AAAACUCCCUCUAGGAAGGCUAUAUAAGUGUCAGCGCACCCGGAGCAUAGAGCCUGCUUGGCAAACGGUCCCUGCCUCAUUUACUGGCACUAAUCCUACCAAAACCAAUACCAUGUGGGUGUCUCGGGCAGAGAGAGGCAAGCGGAAGGCAUUGCCCUUAUAUGGCACAGCUAGGUAGAAUGAUACUUCCCUAUGCCCUUAUAUGGCAGGACCAGGAACCGACACUUGGAGGUGCCAUACAAGGGCAGGGGAAGGGACACACACCCCAGCUGUGCCAUGCAAGGGCAGGGUGAAGUAUUACACCAAGCCUGGGACAUACCAUAGGAAUGAGUGACGACCAGUUCCCCACUCACUCUGGCAGUCCUAGGGGGUGGGUCAGCCCCAGCUCUGAGCCCCAAAUGCUUCCUGAUUCAGCCCUCCUGAGGAGGAAGUGGUGGUUUGCAGCACAUUUGCUCAGCUUUGGGGCUGUUCCUUGGACAAACUCAGGCUGAGAGGCAGAGGGGGACACAGACGCUUUCACCUGUCCUGCUGCCCACGUGUGGGGUGAGGAGGCCCUGGCAGGGCAGGGGGAGAGCUAAUGGAAAGGAGCAGCCACAGCUGAUCAGAUGGCUCCUCCUGCACCCUUUCUCUCACUCGCCCAGAGGCAGGAUGAUGUCAACACUCAAGCCACCUGCCCAGCCUGAAUAUCCACCCAGGUACCUGCCGUGGGAUCAGGUGGGUGGGUGUGUUUGAGGAGGCAGCUUUGAGUCACAGUCAAUGAGCUCAUGCUGAGAGACUGGCCCCAGCUCUAAAGAGGCACUGCCAGACCUGGGCUGGGAACUUACAGGAGUGCAGACAAACAGGGAGAGGGAGACGGGCUCAGCUGAGAUCCAAGGCCAGGACCCUGCGGCCAGGUGCCCCGCAGUCCCACCCAGCAGCCCUCGGUGCCCAUGGGAGAGGAGAUGGCGCUCAGCGUGGGGAACGGCAGUGCUGGGAAACCCGCAGGGGACGGGACAGAGACUGCCGUGAUGAUUCAGGUGGGGCCCUCGCAGCCUGAGCCGCCCACCUGGAGACCACGUCCCCGGGCCCUCCGCAACCUGGCUAUAGGCAGCAUUGUCUGCGGCUGCUCCUGCCUCGGGGUGCUGGCCCUAAUCUAUGCUGUCAAGGCCAAUGAGAAGCGGAAGAAGAACUCUCCUGACGCGGAUCUCUGGGCCCGGAAGUCCUUCCGUUUCUCCCUUCUCAGCAUUGGAGUCUGGGUGGCUCUGCUCAUCCUGGUGCCACUGCUCAUGGGCCUCAUCUCCUACCUGAUUGCCAGGGCCGAGUGAUCUCCUGCUGCAUCCCCAUUGCAGCCAGGGCAAGCACCAUUUCCCGCAGCUGGCUUGGAAUCACCCCAGCCCUGCUGGUUCUGGAGCAGCUCCAGCUUCUCCGUGGCUUGGGACUGAGACUUCAGAGACCAGGGUGGGGUGGGACAGGAUCCACCGUGACUGUCUGUUCCCAGGAGGGAUGGUGAGAAGGGAACGUCAAGUUAAAACUUGUGGCUGGCGGAGCUAAGAACAAGAUUCCGUUACGAGAUGGAGAUGGUAAAACUGUCAAUGCUGCUGUCGAAAAGGCAGCAGUGUUCAAUAGUCUCUCAACGCAGGAUGAUGAACUCUUAUCACAAGGACGAUGAAGGCCCGGUAGUGCCCAGGAGGAUGUUAAACGUCUGCAGAAUGUGUCCCCCGCACGCCUCACGAAGUUGGCCGAGGAGUUCGCCAAUUUUUAAUACACGUUGGAAUGAAAUUCCAGAAGACAGGAAGAAUGCUAAUACUGUGCCCAGGAAGCAGGCAUGAACAGGCAAAUUCUAGGCUGGUUUUGCUUCACAUCAGUCCUGGGUAACAGAAGGGAAAAACAGAGAAGGGAUUCUAUCAACAAAGAUUGCAAAGAUGUGACUAAAGCCAGACAGCCUUGUUUUAUGGCAAAGAUGUUUUGUCAGAGCAAGCCUGAUUUAAUUCUUUAAUGAGGUGACAAGUUUGCUGUAAUAUACGUGGGGGUGUCGCAAGGCAGUUGUCUUUGACUGACAUGACAUUCUGAUUGAAAAUACACCAUCAGCUUUCAGGGGGUAGCUGUGUGAUUUGUUUCAGCAAAACAAUGAGGAGUCUUGUGGCACCUUAAAGAUGAACAGAUUUAUUUGGGCAUCAGCUUUUGUGGGUUGGAACCCACGUCACUUUAUCACAUGUGUCUGCCAAAGUGGGCUCCAGCCCACAAAAGCCCAGGCCCAAAUAAAUCUGUUUGUCUUUAAGGUGCUGCAGGACUCCUCGGUGGUGGUUUUGUUUUUUACAACAUCAAAAGAACACAGAUUAAAUGGGCUGGCUGACAUGAGACCAAGAAGCAGUCAGCAAUGUGGAAUCAUCCCUGAUUGUUUUUGGUGGGGUUCAACAGGGAUUGGUAUUGGGGCAAGACACUCUUCAACAUUUUCAUGAAUGAUCUGGAAGUGAAUAGGUGCGGAUAAAUUUGCAGAUGACACGCAAACUGGUAGAGAGGUGACUAACAACAAGGACGCAGCUAUUUCACAGAGCCACGUAGAUCGCCUGUGCAUGGGAGGCUUCCCUGAGGUACCCUCCGCUAAAGGCCCCUUGCAACUUCCUGCCCGUAGCAUGGGAGUCAUUUGCUUGCAUGUGUUGCCAGAGGUUGGUGGACUCUCCUCUCAGCCUCCACAGUCCCUCCGCAGGUAGGCAAUAGCUGCACACCAGCCCCCAAGUCUUCUGCAUGUCUCCUUGGAGUAUCCAGUCCCAGUUGCAUUGACUAUUCACAGACUUGCCACUCCCAGAGGAACGACACAUCUCAGCUCAGCCCAGGAUCACCGCACUGUUUAACGCACUGCACUUUGCUUUGUUUAUAGCAACUAGAAAAACAGCGAGUCAUGAAAUAGCAAGUAGAUACAAAUAUUGGAGACAGGUUACAGCUAAACCAAAAUCAUGAUAUGCCUUCUAGAGUCUAGAUUUAAAUAAUAGACCAUUCCCAGUCUUUGAAAUGUUAGGUCACCUAAGGGCUUUCUUCCAUUUAUAAACAGGCUGACUAUGAUCCUACGUUCAUCAGACAGCUUGUCCCCUAGGUGAAGGCUACUGUCGAUUUUUCUGCAUGCUUCUAGUGUACCAGACUCAUGCUUUGGUCUUAGUUAUAAGCAGGACACCCCAUCCUCUUGUGUGGGUCAGCAAGAUCCCAACAUCUACAGGAAGACUUUGCAAUCUUGAUUAGCUGCUGGCUCUGGAUACAAAUAGAUUUACGGUGUAAGACCCACAAUAAGCAUUGGGCAGCUAGGGAGAGAGAAGCAUCUCCAUCUUCAGUUGACCCGUCCUAACAAUUGAAGACCAUAAUGUUCAUACAGGAAUGUAACUUCUAGAGUGUUAUAAUGUAGCAAAGAUUAAGCUGAUUAGUGGCCUACUGGCCCCAUGGAGACCUCAUAUGCCCUUCGUCUGGUUAAUUAUUAUGCAUAUAGUCUCGCAUGACCUAUCAAUAAAAGUAUUGAUUUAUACCCCCUCCCCUCGGCUCAGUUAUUCACACAAGUGCAUGGCUAGGUUGGCUGGCUGACUGGGAAAUGUUUUAAGCUCUGCAGACCUUUAGCUCUGCAGGCAGGUA
Molecule: non-coding RNA, 3594 nt
Organism: Pelodiscus sinensis (Chinese soft-shelled turtle)
Lineage: Eukaryota; Metazoa; Chordata; Testudines; Trionychidae
Source: RefSeq, a predicted model, not a curated record